Molecule: long non-coding RNA, 479 nt
Organism: Python bivittatus (Burmese python)
Lineage: Eukaryota; Metazoa; Chordata; Lepidosauria; Squamata; Pythonidae
Source: RefSeq, a predicted model, not a curated record
AGGCACACCAAUCUAGCUAAUCAGUGUCAAGCUUCGCUGCCACAAACGUACAUGACAAGGUCAUCCUGGAAGAUCCCAGAAUUGUGUUGAUGAGGAAGGCAGAUAAAGACUACCUCAGACUCUGUUUUCGGUCCCUCCAACAGUGCCUUUGACAACAAUUGCUCUAUGGGACAAACCCUGAAUGGAAAAGGUUCCAGGAACGCAUAAAUAAGGCCAAACUAAGCCGGUACUUCUAGUUGUGUUGGAAGAACCAACUGGAUGGAUACGCUAAGAAGGCAGUGUCAUCUGUCAAGAAAAGCUUCCUUGGCUACUGCUGGAAUCUCUGGAGCUGUACUGUUAAAAACACUGACCUGGAGGUCUCCCAGAGCUGGAGUUGUGGUCAAAGGUUCUUCAUCCACUUGAGAACAUAAAUCACUGUUUUUCAAACUUGGCAACUGCAGUUUUCAUGCCUCCUGGGGAAUUCUGGGAGCUGAAGUCCA